AAAAUCAGUGCACAGGAUAAAAGCGAAAUGAUUCUAAUGAAUGGCCCAGCCCUCCCUCACCCCUGAUGAGGGAAACCCCGUGGGAUUCACUGAGCAGCCAGCCACUAACUCAUUUGGAUCGGACAUGCUGGAGAGGCAACGAGUCCAUGAGUUCACGCGAGAAGCAAGACGCUUAAACUGACUGAAAGUGGAAGUAUGAGGAAGAGAAGGAGGAGGAUCACACAGUUGGAUGCUCUUUGAUGCACAGUAGGAUACCACCUACAUCAGAGGAUGUCCCAAAACACUGCCAUCGAACUGAGAUGAUUGCUCAACCUCCUCAGCCUGUCGGAAUAUUUUUAAAGGUUGUUUUCAGGACUGGCUAAAACCUGCCAGAGGAGGAAGUUAAAAUAAGACACUCAAAGACGGGUAGAUACAUAAUGGAAAAAAUUAUAGACAUCAACAAAAAUAAAACCACCCAAAGUCCACACAAACAUUGUUAAUUUCACUUGUUCUACAUUAGAUGUUUGAUGGCAAAAUAACUGAUAAAAAAUAAAGAUUUUCAAAGAA
Molecule: long non-coding RNA, 546 nt
Organism: Siniperca chuatsi (mandarin fish)
Lineage: Eukaryota; Metazoa; Chordata; Actinopteri; Centrarchiformes; Sinipercidae
Exons: 5
Source: RefSeq, a predicted model, not a curated record